Zalophus californianus (California sea lion) is the source of this 107-nucleotide small nuclear RNA. NCBI's taxonomy places the organism in Eukaryota, Metazoa, Chordata, Mammalia, Carnivora, Otariidae. The record is from Ensembl.
GUGCUCUCUUUGGCAGCACAUGUACUAAAAUUGGAACAGUAUAGAGAAGGUUAGCGUGAACCCUCUGCAAGAAUGACAUACAAAUUCACAAAGCAUUCCCUUUAAAA